RNAcentral lists this ribosomal RNA (449 nucleotides) under uncultured bacterium. RNAcentral describes it as "bacterial SSU rRNA". It matches the Rfam family "Bacterial small subunit ribosomal RNA", at positions 28 to 485 of the family's 1533-position model. The record is from RNAcentral.
GAUGAACGCUGGCGGCGUGCUUAACACAUGCAAGUCGAACGAAGCAACCAUGAAGCCUAGCGAUUGGUUGACUGAGUGGCGGACGGGUGAGUAACGCGUGGGUAACCUGCCUCAUACAGGGGGACAACAGUUAGAAAUGACUGCUAAUACCGCAUAACCCGCUAGGGCCGCAUGGCCCGGACGGAAAAGGAGCAAUCCGGUAUGAGAUGGACCCGCGUCUGAUUAGCUAGUUGGUGGGGUAACGGCCUACCAAGGCAACGAUCAGUAGCCGAACUGAGAGGUUGACCGGCCACAUUGGGACUGAGACACGGCCCAAACUCCUACGGGAGGCAGCAGUGGGGAAUAUUGCACAAUGGGGGAAACCCUGAUGCAGCGACGCCGCGUGAGUGAAGAAGUAUUUCGGUAUGUAAAGCUCUAUCAGCAGGGAAGAAAAUGACGGUACCUGACUA